UACGGAGGGGGCGAGCGUUAUUCGGAAUUAUUGGGCGUAAAGGGCGCGUAGGCGGCCUUGUAAGUCAAAGGUGAAAUCCCUCGGCUCAACUGAGGAACUGCCUUUGAAACUGCAAGGCUUGAGGCCGGGAGGGGGUAGCGGAAUUCCCAAUGUAGCGGUGAAAUGCGUAGAUAUUGGGAGGAACACCAGUGGCGAAGGCGGCUACCUGGACCGGUUCUGACGCUGAGGCACGAAAGCGUGGGGAGCAAACAGG
This 253-nucleotide ribosomal RNA is filed under the name uncultured bacterium. Its description in RNAcentral is "partial 16S ribosomal RNA". It matches the Rfam family "Bacterial small subunit ribosomal RNA", at positions 524 to 776 of the family's 1533-position model. The record is from RNAcentral.